UACAGAGGUCUCAAGCGUUGUUCGGAUUCAUUGGGCGUAAAGGGUGCGUAGGUGGCGGGGCAAGUUUGGUGUGAAAUCCCGGGGCUCAACCCCGGAACUGCACUGAAUACUGCCUUGCUAGAGCACUGGAGAGGGAACUGGAAUUUACGGUGUAGCAGUGAAAUGCGUAGAUAUCGUAAGGAAGACCAGUGGCGAAGGCGAGUUCCUGGACAGUUGCUGACACUGAGGCACGAAAGCUGGGGGAGCAAACAGG
Molecule: ribosomal RNA, 253 nt
Filed under: uncultured bacterium
Lineage: Bacteria
Description: partial 16S ribosomal RNA
Rfam family: Bacterial small subunit ribosomal RNA
Source: RNAcentral